GCCAGGAGCUGUGGCGCCUGCCUGUAGUCCCAGCUACUCGGGAGGCUGAGGUGGGAGGAUCGCUUGAGCCCAGGAGUUCUGGGCUGUAGCGCGCUAUGCCGAUCAGGUGUCCGCACUAAGUUCAGCAUCAAUAUGGUGACCUCCCGGGAGCGGGGGACCACCAGGUUGCCUAAGGAAGGGUGAACUGGUCCAGGUCGGAAAUGGAGCAGGUCAAAACUCCUGUGCUGAUCAGUAGUGGAAUCGAGCCUGUGAAUAGCCACUGCACUCCAGCCUAGGCAACAUAGCGAGACCCCGUCUCCU
RNAcentral lists this signal recognition particle RNA (300 nucleotides) under Aotus nancymaae (Ma's night monkey). RNAcentral's name for it is "Metazoan signal recognition particle RNA (ENSANAG00000001861.1)". It matches the Rfam family "Metazoan signal recognition particle RNA". Rfam says of the family: The signal recognition particle (SRP) is a universally conserved ribonucleoprotein. It is involved in the co-translational targeting of proteins to membranes. The eukaryotic SRP consists of a 300-nucleotide 7S RNA and six proteins: SRPs 72, 68, 54, 19, 14, and 9. Lineage: Eukaryota; Metazoa; Chordata; Mammalia; Primates; Aotidae. The record is from Rfam by way of RNAcentral.